UUUGAUCAAAUAUAUUCACUCAACAAAGAAAGCAUUAUAACAACACUUCAUACAAAUUCCAUUCGUCUUCAGCGACAAUGAGUAGUAGUCAAAUAAUCGAAGGUUCUGAAUUGGACGCUGGCCUUGUGGCGAGUGGUGAGAUUGACGUUGCACCAAAGACAGUGGAGGAGCCAGUGGUGGAGACCGAGCAGCCCGAAGAAUCCGUUGUGACAGAAACACCAGAGGUGGUGACUCCGGAAGAACCUGAAGUCAACGUCGAUGUCGAGGAGUAAAAAGGGAUGAAACUCACUGUGACUCUCUCUAAAAUUAAUGUUUGCAUUUGGUUUCUAUUAAAAUAAGUGUGUUUAUGUCGGUAUGGUAUCUUUGGUUUUGGCUUUGAAUGAUUUGUGAUAAUAAAACAAAAUGUUUGGAUA
This is a long non-coding RNA of Capsella rubella, 413 nucleotides long. RefSeq lists it as uncharacterized. Lineage: Eukaryota; Viridiplantae; Streptophyta; Magnoliopsida; Brassicales; Brassicaceae. The record is from RefSeq and is a predicted model, not a curated record. The transcript is spliced from 2 exons.